This 77-nucleotide transfer RNA is filed under the name Endozoicomonas acroporae. Its description in RNAcentral is "tRNA-Ile". It matches the Rfam family "tRNA". From Rfam's summary of the family: Transfer RNA (tRNA) molecules are approximately 80 nucleotides in length. Their secondary structure includes four short double-helical elements and three loops (D, anti-codon, and T loops). Further hydrogen bonds mediate the characteristic L-shaped molecular structure. tRNAs have two regions of fundamental functional importance: the anti-codon, which is responsible for specific mRNA codon recognition, and the 3' end, to which the tRNAs corresponding amino acid is attached (by aminoacyl-tRNA synthetases). tRNAs cope with the degeneracy of the genetic code in two manners: having more than one tRNA (with a specific anti-codon) for a particular amino acid; and 'wobble' base-pairing, i.e. permitting non-standard base-pairing at the 3rd anti-codon position. Lineage: Bacteria; Pseudomonadati; Pseudomonadota; Gammaproteobacteria; Oceanospirillales; Endozoicomonadaceae. RNAcentral also lists the same sequence under 2 other names. The record is from RNAcentral.
GGGCCUAUAGCUCAGUUGGUUAGAGCAGCGGACUCAUAAUCCGUUGGUCGAAGGUUCAAGUCCUUCUGGGCCCACCA